Molecule: ribosomal RNA, 420 nt
Filed under: bacterium
Lineage: Bacteria
Description: partial 16S ribosomal RNA
Rfam family: Bacterial small subunit ribosomal RNA
Source: RNAcentral
UGGGGGAUAUUGCACAAUGGGCGAAAGCCUGAUGCAGCGACGCCGCGUGGGGGAUGAAGGCUUUCGGGUUGUAAACCUCUUUCGCUAUCGAACAAGGCCCGCUUAGGGUGGGUUGAGGGUAGGUGGAGAAGAAGCGCCGGCUAACUACGUGCCAGCAGCCGCGGUAAUACGUAGGGCGCGAGCGUUGUCCGGUAUUAUUGGGCGUUAAGGGCUUGUAGGCGGCUUGUUGCGCCUGCUGUGAAAACGCGGGGCUUAACUUCGCGCGUGCAGUGGGUACGGGCGGGCUUGAGUGUGGUAGGGGUGACUGGAAUUCGAGGUGUAGCGGUGGAAUGCGCAGAUAUCUGGAGGAACACCGAUGGCGAAGGGAGGUCACUGGGCCAUUACUGACGCUGAGGAGCGAAAGCAUGGGUAGCGAACAGG